CCUACGGGAGACAGCAGUGGGGAAUAUUGCACAAUGGGGGAAACCCUGAUGCAGCGACGCCGCGUGAGUGAAGAAGUAAUUCGUUACGUCAAGCUCUAUCAGCAGGGAAGAAAAUGACGGUACCUGAGUAAGAAGCCCCGGCUAACUACGUGCCAGCAGCCGCGGUAAUACGUAGGGGGCAAGCGUUAUCCGGAUUUACUGGGUGUAAAGGGAGCGUAGACGGGGCGCCAAGUCUGUAGUGAAAUGACGCAGCUUAACUGCGGAACUGCUUUGGAAACUGGCGAACUAGAGUGCGGGAGGGGGAAGCGGAAUUCCUAGUGUAGCGGUGAAAUGCGUAGAUAUUAGGAGGAACACCGGUGGCGAAGGCGGCAUACUGGACCGUAACUGACGUUGAGGCUCGAAAGCGUGGGGAGCAAACAGGAUUAGAUACCCCUGUAGUC
Molecule: ribosomal RNA, 440 nt
Filed under: uncultured bacterium
Lineage: Bacteria
Description: partial 16S ribosomal RNA
Rfam family: Bacterial small subunit ribosomal RNA
Source: RNAcentral